Molecule: ribosomal RNA, 253 nt
Filed under: uncultured bacterium
Lineage: Bacteria
Description: partial 16S ribosomal RNA
Rfam family: Bacterial small subunit ribosomal RNA
Source: RNAcentral
GACAGAGGCCUCGAGCGUUAGGCGGAAUCACUGGGCUUAAAGCGUGUGUAGGCGGAUCGUUAAGUGCCUUGUGAAAUCCCACGGCUUAACUGUGGAACGGCUGGGCAUACUGGCGGUCUUGAGCCAUCUAGGGGCGACUGGAACAAACGGUGGAGCGGUGAAAUGCGUAGAUAUCGGUUGGAACGCCAAUGGUGAAAACAGGUCGCUGGGGAUGAGCUGACGCUGAGACCCGAAAGCCAGGGGAGCAAACGGG